RNAcentral lists this ribosomal RNA (252 nucleotides) under uncultured bacterium. RNAcentral's name for it is "partial 16S ribosomal RNA". It matches the Rfam family "Bacterial small subunit ribosomal RNA", at positions 524 to 776 of the family's 1533-position model. The record is from RNAcentral.
UACGAAGGGGGCUAGCGUUGCUCGGAAUCACUGGGCGUAAAGGGUGCGUAGGCGGGUCUUUAAGUCAGGGGUGAAAUCCUGGAGCUCAACUCCAGAACUGCCUUUGAUACUGAAGAUCUUGAGUGCGGGAGAGGUGAGUGGAACUGCGAGUGUAGAGGUGAAAUUCGUAGAUAUUCGCAAGAACACCAGUGGCGAAGGCGGCUCACUGGCCCGAUACUGACGCUGAGGCACGAAAGCGUGGGAGCAAACAGG